UACAGAGGUCUCGAGCGUUAGGCGGAAUCACUGGGCUUAAAGCGUGUGUAGGCGGAUCGUUAAGUGCCUUGUGAAAUCCCACGGCUCAACCGUGGAACUGCUUGGCAUACUGGCGGCCUUGAGCAACCUAGGGGCGAGCGGAACAAAUGGUGGAGCGGUGAAAUGCGUAGAUAUCAUUUGGAACGCCAAUGGUGAAAACAGCUCGCUGGGGGUUUGCUGACGCUGAGACACGAAAGCCAGGGGAGCAAACGGG
RNAcentral lists this ribosomal RNA (253 nucleotides) under uncultured bacterium. RNAcentral's name for it is "partial 16S ribosomal RNA". It matches the Rfam family "Bacterial small subunit ribosomal RNA", at positions 524 to 776 of the family's 1533-position model. The record is from RNAcentral.